UACGGAGGGGGCUAGCGUUGUUCGGAAUUACUGGGCGUAAAGCGCGCGUAGGCGGACCUGCAAGUCGGGGGUGAAAGCCCGAGGCUUAACCUCGGAACUGCCUUCGAUACUGCGGGUCUCGAGUCCGGGAGAGGUGAGUGGAAUUCCUAGUGUAGAGGUGAAAUUCGUAGAUAUUAGGAAGAACACCAGUGGCGAAGGCGGCUCACUGGCCCGGUACUGACGCUGAGGCGCGAAAGCGUGUGGAGCAAUCAGG
This 253-nucleotide ribosomal RNA is filed under the name uncultured bacterium. RNAcentral's name for it is "partial 16S ribosomal RNA". It matches the Rfam family "Bacterial small subunit ribosomal RNA", at positions 524 to 776 of the family's 1533-position model. The record is from RNAcentral.